RNAcentral lists this ribosomal RNA (886 nucleotides) under Radopholus similis. RNAcentral describes it as "SSU rRNA". It matches the Rfam family "Eukaryotic small subunit ribosomal RNA", at positions 30 to 926 of the family's 1831-position model. Lineage: Eukaryota; Metazoa; Nematoda; Chromadorea; Rhabditida; Pratylenchidae. The record is from RNAcentral.
GCUUGUCUCAAAGAUUAAGCCAUGCAUGUCUAAGUAUAAAUCGAAACGAUGAAACCGCAAACGGCUCAUUACACCAGCAGUAAUCUAUUUGACCUUGAUAACCUACUUGGAUAACUGUGGUAAUUCUAGAGCUAAUACAUGCGCUAAAACUCCAACCGCAAGGGAGGAGUGCAUUUGUUCGCCACAAAACCAAGCCCCUCCGGGGGUUUAGUGUUGAAUCAGAGCAACUAAGCUGAGCGCACGGUCUUGCACCGGCGCCGUAUCAUUCGAGCUUCUGCCCUAUCAACUUUCGACGGUAGUGUCUCUGGCUACCGUGGUGGUGACGGGUAACGGAGGAUCAGGGUUCGACUCCGGAGAAGGGGCCUGAGAAAUGGCCACUAUGUCUAAGGAUAGCAGCAGGCGCGCAAAUUACCCACUCUCAGCAUGAGGAGGUAGUGACGAGAAAUAACGAGGCCGUUCUCAUACGAGGCCGGCCAUUGGAAUGGAAGAGGUUCAAAACCCCCAUUGAGUAUCUACGAGAGGGCAAGUCUGGUGCCAGCAGCCGCGGUAAUUCCAGCUCUCGAAAUGCAUAGAACCAUUGCUGCGGUUAAAAAGCUCGUAGUUGGACUUAAGUCGCACCACCGGUCCAUCUUCGGAUGCGCACUGGUUGGCGUGGCUUUUGGCCGGUUUCAUCUGGCAGUUGGCUUCGCUGUCGGCUGUCAGGGACUGGCGAAUUUACCUUGAACAAAUCAGAGUGCUCAAAACAAGCGUUUGCUUGAAUGUUCUUGCAUGGAAUAAUAGAAGAGGAUCACGGUCCGAUUUUAUUGGCUUUGCGGACUGAGAUAAUGGUUAACAGAGACAAACGGGGGCAUUUGUAUUGCGGCGUGAGAGGUGAAAUUCUUGGACC